RNAcentral lists this transfer RNA (73 nucleotides) under Mus musculus (house mouse). RNAcentral describes it as "tRNA-Ala". Lineage: Eukaryota; Metazoa; Chordata; Mammalia; Rodentia; Muridae. The record is from RNAcentral.
GUGUACAUAGCUCAGUUGGUAGGGUGCUUGCCUAGCAAGCAUGAAGGCCCAAGUUUGAUUCAAGCACUGUAUG